GUGGGGAAUAUUAGGCAAUGGGCGAAAGCCUGACCUAGCAACGCCGCGUGAAGGAAGAAGGCCUUCGGGUUGUAAACUUCUUUUAUGAGGGACGAAGGACGUGACGGUACCUCAUGAAUAAGCCACGGCUAACUACGUGCCAGCAGCCGCGGUAAUACGUAGGUGGCGAGCGUUGUCCGGAUUUACUGGGGGUAAAGGGCGCGUAGGCGGACUGGCAAGUCAGAUGUGAAAUACAGUGGCUCAACCCCUGAACUGCAUUUGAAACUGUUGGUCUUGAGUAACGGAGAGGCAAGCGGAAUUCCUAGGGUAGCGGUGAAAUGCGUAGAUAUUAGGAGGAACACCAGGGGCGAAGGCGGCUUGCUGGACGACAACUGACGCUGAGGCGCGAAAGCGUGGGAAGCAAACAGGAUUAGAAACCCUGGUAGUCC
This 428-nucleotide ribosomal RNA is filed under the name uncultured bacterium. Its description in RNAcentral is "partial 16S ribosomal RNA". It matches the Rfam family "Bacterial small subunit ribosomal RNA", at positions 354 to 796 of the family's 1533-position model. The record is from RNAcentral.